Molecule: ribosomal RNA, 474 nt
Filed under: uncultured bacterium
Lineage: Bacteria
Description: bacterial SSU rRNA
Rfam family: Bacterial small subunit ribosomal RNA
Source: RNAcentral
ACUCCUACGGGAGGCAGCAGUGGGGAAUUUUGGACAAUGGGCGAAAGCCUGAUCCAGCAAUGCCGCGUGUGUGAAGAAGGCCUCGGUUGUAAAGCACUUUGUCCGGAAAGAAAUACCUUGGCUCUAAUACAGCCGGGGGAGUGACGGUACCGGAAGAAUAAGCACCGGCUAACUACGUGCCAGCAGCCGCGGUAAUACGUAGGGGUGCAAGCGUUAAUCGGAAUUACUGGGGCGUAAGCGUGCGCAGGCGGUUUGCUAAGACCGAUGUGAAAUCCCCGGGGCUCAACCUGGGAACUGCAUUGGUGACUGGCAGGCUAGAGUAUGGCAGAGGGGGGUAGAAUUCCACGUGUAGCAGUGAAAUGCGUAGAGAUGUGGAGGAAUACCGAUGGCGAAGGCAGCCCCCUGGGCCAAUACUGACGCUCAUGCACGAAAGCGUGGGGAGCAAACAGGAUUAGAUACCCUGGUAGCGACUGA